CCUACGGGCGGCAGCAGUGGGGAAUAUUGGGCAAUGGGCGCAAGCCUGACCCAGCAACGCCGCGUGAAGGAAGAAGGCUUUCGGGUUGUAAACUUCUUUUCUCAGGGACGCAGCAAGUGACGGUACCUGAGGAAUAAGCUACGGCUAACUACGUGCCAGCAGCCGCGGUAAUAAGUAGGUGGCAAGCGGUAUCCGGAUUUACUGGGUGUAAAGGGCGUGUAGGCGGGAAUGCAAGUUCGAUGGGAAAACCAUGGGCUCAAACUGUGGCCUGCAUUUGAACCUGGUUUUCUUGAGUACGGGAGAGGCAGACGGAAUUCCUAGUGUAGCGGUGAAAUGCGUAGAUAUUAGGCAGAACACCAGUGGCGAAGGCAGUCUGCUGGACAGCAACUGACGCUGAGGCGCGAAAGCGUGGGGAGCAAACAGGAUUAGAUACCCUUGUAGUC
Molecule: ribosomal RNA, 443 nt
Filed under: uncultured bacterium
Lineage: Bacteria
Description: partial 16S ribosomal RNA
Rfam family: Bacterial small subunit ribosomal RNA
Source: RNAcentral